GACGAACGCUGGCGGCGUGCUUAACACAUGCAAGUCGAACGGUAAGGCCCUGCGUUUGGGGUGUGCUGGGGUGGCGUACGGAAGAGUUACACGUGAUUCACCUGCCCUUGGCUUUGGUAUAACUUCUUGGAACUAGUACUAAUAGUUGAUAGCUGCUCCUGCUGCAGGGUGUGGGUUGGAUAUUUUGGGCGGUUGGGGAUGGGCCCGCGGCUUAUCAGUUUGUUGGUGGGGUAGUGGCCUACCAAGGCCUUGACGGGUAGCCGGCCUGAGAGGGUGACCGGCCACAUUGGGACUGAGAUACGGCCCAGACUCCUACGGGAGGCAGCAGUGGGGAAUAUUGCACAAUGGGCGGAAGCCUGAUGCAGCAACGCCGCGUGCGGGAUGACGGCCUUCGGGUUGUAAACCGCUUUCGCCUGUGACGAAGCGCAAGUGACGGUAAUGGCAGAAGAAGCACCGGCUAACUACGUG
RNAcentral lists this ribosomal RNA (468 nucleotides) under uncultured bacterium. RNAcentral describes it as "partial 16S ribosomal RNA". It matches the Rfam family "Bacterial small subunit ribosomal RNA", at positions 28 to 507 of the family's 1533-position model. The record is from RNAcentral.